GAGCAAACGUUUCUUUCCCAGGAAGAUGUGUUUGUGUUUUUAGUUUGUCUUUUCAGAACCCUUCUUCCUCUCUAAGGUCGCUUUCACAGAAAACCUGUCAAUCCCGGAGCUUCUCCGUGUCAGUACCGGUUACAUCCUGUGGACAGAACAAAGGAAAAGGAUGACCAAACCUCGCCCCUGAACUGUCCGGUACGGGACGCUGGUGUCACAAAGGCCUUGCCACUCCAGGUCACCAUGGAAACGGGAUGCAGUCGUCUUGUUCCCAGAAGGACUGAGUGAUCUCAGCAGGAGGGCCGGCCUCCUCCUCUUCGGCAGGACACCCUCUAAUUGGCCUUCGGAUGCCAGGCGGAGAGUUGGCAUCACAGAGUACAGUAUUUCAGGUUGCAUAUAGUCCCGAGAGGCUUCCCGUCUUCCCGCUUUCUCCCCACAACGCACACCCAGGACCCAGACACGCCGCCCACUGAAUAUUCGGGACCCUCGGAAUCCCGGAGCGGAACGGGCAGGGACAAGAGGACAGAAUGAACCAACGGAGAAAUAAAGACAAUCUGCUCCAGUCCGUGAACCAGGGAAAUUAGGGCUUUACAGUGACGUCUUUAGCAUAACUUGCGCCCAGUGUGAUGAUUGCAUUCCGAGCCCCUUGGAUUUCUGCGAUGUCUGCGGAAGGACACUCUAAGAGGCGUCACAGAGGAAGCAUUGGUGGUUCAGUGGUAGAAUUCUCGCCUGCCACGCGGGAGGCCCGGGUUCGAUUCCCGGCCAAUGCAACUUUUUAGUAAAAGGAAGGAAGAAAAGGGAACCGCUCUUGACCCCGACGUGAUUUGAACAUGCAACCUUCUGAUCUGGAGUCAGACGCGCUACCGUUGCGCCACGAGGCCACAAAGGAAUGUACCGAAAGCGAACAUUUAUGGAAGAGAGAAAAAUACAUGGCUGGUCCUCAUAUUUUAGGAUAUUUGCUAUCUGGAGGAUUGUGAACCCAUGCAAUAGCCGGUACUGUGAAUACACUGUCUUAGACACUA
Ornithorhynchus anatinus (platypus) is the source of this 1013-nucleotide long non-coding RNA. RefSeq lists it as uncharacterized. NCBI's taxonomy places the organism in Eukaryota, Metazoa, Chordata, Mammalia, Monotremata, Ornithorhynchidae. The record is from RefSeq and is a predicted model, not a curated record. The transcript is spliced from 5 exons.